Molecule: ribosomal RNA, 897 nt
Filed under: Skeletonema marinoi
Lineage: Eukaryota; Bacillariophyta; Thalassiosirophyceae; Thalassiosirales; Thalassiosiraceae
Description: partial Bacterial large subunit ribosomal RNA
Rfam family: Bacterial large subunit ribosomal RNA
Source: RNAcentral
AAACGAUGUGGGAAGGCAUAGACAGCUAGGAGGUUGGCUUAGAAGCAGCCACCCUUUAAAGAAAGCGUAAUAGCUCACUAGUCGAGUCGGCCUGCGCGGAAGAUGUAACGGGGCUAAGCAAUAUACCGAAGCUGCGGAUGUGUGUAUUUAUACACACAUGGUAGGGGAGCGUUGUGUAAGUGGCUGAAGGCAAGCUGUGAGGCUUGCUGGACAUAUCACAAGUGCGAAUGCUGACAUGAGUAACGAUAAUGGGGGUGAAAAACCCCCACGCCGGAAGACCAAGGUUUCCUGUCCCAUGCUAAUCAGGGCAGGGUAAGUCGGCCCCUAAGGCGAGGCAGAGAUGCGUAGUCGAUGGGAAACGGAUUAAUAUUUCCGUACUUGGUAUAUCAGUGAAGGGGGGACGGAGAAGGCUAGGCAAGCACAGUGUUGGUUAUCUGUGUGAAAGUGCGUAGGGCGACAAUUUAGGUAAAUCCGGAUUGUCAUUCACCUGAGACACGAGACGAGACUCCACGGAGUUGAAGUUGUUGAUGCCAUGCUUCCAGGAAAAGCCUCUAAACUUAUGAUAUAUCGAACCGUACCCCAAACCGACACAGGUGGUCAGGUAGAGAAUACUAAGGCGCUUGAGAGAACCUGGGUGAAGGAACUCGGCAAAAUCGUACCGUAACUUCGGGAGAAGGUACGCUGCUGUUUGUGAUGGGACUUGCUCCCUAAGCGAAUGGCAGCCGCAGUGAAAUGGUGGCUGGAACUGUUUAUUAAAAACACAGCACUGUGCUAAAUCGAAAGAUGACGUAUACGGUGUGACGCCUGCCCGGUGCCGGAAGGUUAAUUGAUGGGGUUAGACUUAGGUCGAAGCUCUUGAUCGAAGCCCCGGUAAACGGCGGCCGUAACAAUAACGGU